This 464-nucleotide ribosomal RNA is filed under the name Vreelandella stevensii. RNAcentral describes it as "partial 16S ribosomal RNA". It matches the Rfam family "Bacterial small subunit ribosomal RNA", at positions 338 to 795 of the family's 1533-position model. Lineage: Bacteria; Pseudomonadati; Pseudomonadota; Gammaproteobacteria; Oceanospirillales; Halomonadaceae. The record is from RNAcentral.
CCUACGGGGGGCAGCAGUGGGGAAUAUUGGACAAUGGGGGCAACCCUGAUCCAGCCAUGCCGCGUGUGUGAAGAAGGCCCUCGGGUUGUAAGCACUUUCAGUGAGGAAGAACGCCUGGUGGUUAAUACCCAUCAGGAAAGACAUCACUCACAGAAGAAGCACCGGCUAACUCCGUGCCAGCAGCCGCGGUAAUACGGAGGGUGCGAGCGUUAAUCGGAAUUACUGGGCGUAAAGCGCGCGUAGGUGGCUUGAUAAGCCGGUUGUGAAAGCCCCGGGCUCAACCUGGGAACGGCAUCCGGAACUGUCAAGCUAGAGUGCAGGAGAGGAAGGUAGAAUUCCCGGUGUAGCGGUGAAAUGCGUAGAGAUCGGGAGGAAUACCAGUGGCGAAGGCGGCCUUCUGGACUGACACUGACACUGAGGUGCGAAAGCGUGGGUAGCAAACAGGAUUAGAUACCCGUGUAGUC